RNAcentral lists this non-coding RNA (29 nucleotides) under Rattus norvegicus (Norway rat). Lineage: Eukaryota; Metazoa; Chordata; Mammalia; Rodentia; Muridae. The record is from RNAcentral.
UUACCGGAAAAUAAAAAUGGGCGACAGGA